CCUACGGGCGGCAGCAGUGGGGAAUAUUGGGCAAUGGGCGCAAGCCUGACCCAGCAACGCCGCGUGAAGGAAGAAGGCUUUCGGGUUGUAAACUUCUUUUCUCAGGGACGAAGAAAGUGACGGUACCUGAGUAAUAAGCCACGGCUAACUACGUGCAAGCAGCCGCGGUAAUACGUAGGGGGCAAGCGUUAUCCGGAUGUAUUGGGUGUAAAGGGCGUGUAGGCGGGAGCGCAAGUCAGAUGUGAAAACUCAGGGCUCAACCCUGAGACUGCAUUUGAAACUGUGUUUCUUGAGUGCUGGAGAGGCAGUGAGAAUUCCGGGUGUAGCGGUGAAAUGCGUAGAUAUACGGAGGAACAGCAGUGGCGAAGGCGGAUUGCUGGACAGUAACUGACGCGGAGGCGCGAAAGCGUGGGGAGCAAACAGGAUUAGAUACCCGGGUAGUC
RNAcentral lists this ribosomal RNA (443 nucleotides) under uncultured bacterium. Its description in RNAcentral is "partial 16S ribosomal RNA". It matches the Rfam family "Bacterial small subunit ribosomal RNA", at positions 338 to 795 of the family's 1533-position model. The record is from RNAcentral.